UGCAGAACCUCAGAAUACAGAACCACCAGGGU
RNAcentral lists this non-coding RNA (32 nucleotides) under Macaca fascicularis (crab-eating macaque). The record is from RNAcentral. RNAcentral also lists the same sequence under 1 other name. Lineage: Eukaryota; Metazoa; Chordata; Mammalia; Primates; Cercopithecidae.